AUUGAACGCUGGCGGCAGGCCUAACACAUGCAAGUCGAGCGAGCGGCGGACGGGUGAGUAAUGUAUGGGAAACUGCCCGAUGGAGGGGGAUAACUACUGGAAACGGUAGCUAAUACCGCAUACUAUCAGAUGUGCCCAUCUGGGAUUAGCUAGUAGGUGGGGUAAAGGCUCACCUAGGCGACGAUCCCUAGCUGGUCUGAGAGGAUGAUCACCCACACUGGGACUGAGACACUGUCCAGACUCCUACGGGAGGCAGCAGUGGGGAAUAUUGCACAAUGGGCGAAAGCCUGAUGCAGCCAUGCCGCGUGUAUGAAGAAGGCCUUAGGGUUGUAAAGCACUUUCAGCGCGGAGGCGUUACUCGCAGAAGAAGCACCGGCUAACUCCGUGCCAGCAGCCGCGGUAAUAC
This 406-nucleotide ribosomal RNA is filed under the name uncultured bacterium. Its description in RNAcentral is "partial 16S ribosomal RNA". It matches the Rfam family "Bacterial small subunit ribosomal RNA", at positions 30 to 526 of the family's 1533-position model. The record is from RNAcentral.